This 557-nucleotide small RNA is filed under the name Pan troglodytes (chimpanzee). RNAcentral's name for it is "processed transcript". The record is from RNAcentral. Lineage: Eukaryota; Metazoa; Chordata; Mammalia; Primates; Hominidae.
GGGCCGCCACAGGCGCAGCUCUGCCCCCCAGCUUCCCGGGCGCACUGACCGCCUGACCGACGCACGGCCCUCGGGCCGGGAUGUCGGGGCCCGGGACGGCCGCGGUAGCGCUGCUCCCGGCGGUCCUGCUGGCCUUGCUGGCGCCCUGGGCGGGCCGAGGGGGCGCCGCCGCACCCACUGCACCCAACGGCACGCUGGAGGCCGAGCUGGAGCGCCGCUGGGAGAGCCUGGUGGCGCGCUCGUUGGCGCGCCUGCCGGUGGCAGCGCAGCCCAAGGAGGCGGCCGUCCAGAGCGGCGCCGGCGACUACCUGCUGGGCAUCAAGCGGCUGCGGCGGCUCUACUGCAACGUGGGCAUCGGCUUCCACCUCCAGGCUCUCCCCGACGGCCGCAUCGGCGGCGCGCACGCGGACACCCGCGACACCCUUCUUCACCGAUGAGUGCAAGUUCAAGGAGAUUCUCCUUCCCAACAACUACAACGCCUACGAGUCCUACAAGUACCCCGGCAUGUUCAUCGCCCUGAGCAAGAAUGGGAAGACCAAGAAGGGGAACCGAGUGUC